This 253-nucleotide ribosomal RNA is filed under the name uncultured bacterium. RNAcentral's name for it is "partial 16S ribosomal RNA". It matches the Rfam family "Bacterial small subunit ribosomal RNA", at positions 524 to 776 of the family's 1533-position model. The record is from RNAcentral.
UACAGGGGGUGCUAGCGUUGUUCGGAAUUACUGGGCGUAAAGGGCGCGUAGGCGGCCUUGUAAGUCAGAUGUGAAAUCCCCGGGCUUAACUCGGGACGUGCAUUUGAAACUGCGAGGCUAGAGUGCAGUAGAGGAUGGUAGAAUUCCCAGUGUAGAGGUGAAAUUCGUAGAUAUUGGGAGGAAUACCGGUGGCGAAGGCGGCCAUCUGGGCUGCAACUGACGCUGAGGCGCAAAAGCGUGGGGAUCAAACAGG